Molecule: long non-coding RNA, 970 nt
Organism: Xiphias gladius (swordfish)
Lineage: Eukaryota; Metazoa; Chordata; Actinopteri; Istiophoriformes; Xiphiidae
Exons: 4
Source: RefSeq, a predicted model, not a curated record
AUGUUUCCAGUUCACGACAGCUACAGCCGCGAUACGUUCUGCUCUUUUCUCGACGUGUGUUCCGCCAGAUUAAACACAUUUAGAGCAACGUUAACCCGACGCUUGCCUUCCUCUACCGCCGCCCUCCACGUUGAGAAAACAAAUUCCGUGACAGUGAAAGCAAAAUAAAAGCAGGACCAGAGAAACACUGUGUCGUGAACAGAAGGAUUUAAUAAUCACUGCUUCAGCAGACAUUUAGAAAGUGACCUGGGAACAGUCAGAGGAAGAAGAAUAUUCACCUGUUUCUCAAGGUGUGUCUCCAACCCAAACAAAGAUGGUGACAGGAUAUCAACAUGGCAUCAGUGAUGAUUUAGGACAUUAGUGAUGUCACACAGGUGUACUAUAACUUGAGGUAAACGUCAUGUGACCAGACGGGAUGAGGUUUUAAAGGGACGCGGGACUCCUCUCAUCCAGCUUUUAAUUUGACACAUAAACCACCGUGGAUUAGAGUCCUUCCUGCAGAGACAGCAUCCUACCUACAGUCCAUCAAUGACUCUAAACUAUUAUUGAUUUCUGACUUUUACUCCCAGUAAACCUCCUGCAUUUAAGGUGGAAUGAUCAGACUGUCAACGAAUUAGGGCCGACAGAGGACGGACCCAGCAGGCAGAGACAGAGGACGACAGGCUUUACUUUUCUGUUCUGUUGUCUGAUUUAGUGGAUUUGUCGCUGUCUCCUUUGUCUCAGUUUUUUCAGCUGCAUGUUCUACACGUUCCCUUUAGCAUAAUUUUUCAACGUGCAGGGUAAACUACAGCAUCAUUAAACUGGUUUAUGGUUCAGUUCAGACUCUCACAGCGCUUGGUUAAGGUUCAGGAAGGAUCCUGGUCUGGUUUAACACUGAAAAAGUUCACUGUGUAUCCUGACCAGUGAGAACGAGUUCUUUUCAGAGUAAAGAUUCUGAAACAAACUGGACAUGUGGAAAGACACAGUUUAA